RNAcentral lists this ribosomal RNA (1688 nucleotides) under Salmonella enterica subsp. enterica serovar Infantis. Its description in RNAcentral is "partial 23S ribosomal RNA". The record is from RNAcentral. Lineage: Bacteria; Pseudomonadati; Pseudomonadota; Gammaproteobacteria; Enterobacterales; Enterobacteriaceae.
UGCUGGAGGUAUCAGAAGUGCGAAUGCUGACAUAAGUAACGAUAAAGCGGGUGAAAAGCCCGCUCGCCGGAAGACCAAGGGUUCCUGUCCAACGUUAAUCGGGGCAGGGUGAGUCGACCCCUAAGGCGAGGCCGAAAGGCGUAGUCGAUGGGAAACGGGUUAAUAUUCCCGUACUUGGUGUUACUGCGAAGGGGGGACGGAGAAGGCUAUGUUGGCCGGGCGACGGUUGUCCCGGUUUAAGCGUGUAGGUGUGUGUUCCAGGUAAAUCCGGUUCACUUUAACACUGAGGCGUGAUGACGAGGCACUACGGUGCUGAAGCAACAAAUGCCCUGCUUCCAGGAAAAGCCUCUAAGCAUCAGGUAACAUCAAAUCGUACCCCAAACCGACACAGGUGGUCAGGUAGAGAAUACCAAGGCGCUUGAGAGAACUCGGGUGAAGGAACUAGGCAAAAUGGUGCCGUAACUUCGGGAGAAGGCACGCUGACAYGUAGGUGAAGUGAUUUACUCAUGGAGCUGAAGUCAGUCGAAGAUACCAGCUGGCUGCAACUGUUUAUUAAAAACACAGCACUGUGCAAACACGAAAGUGGACGUAUACGGUGUGACGCCUGCCCGGUGCCGGAAGGUUAAUUGAUGGGGUCAGCGCAAGCGAAGCUCCUGAUCGAAGCCCCGGUAAACGGCGGCCGUAACUAUAACGGUCCUAAGGUAGCGAAAUUCCUUGUCGGGUAAGUUCCGACCUGCACGAAUGGCGUAAUGAUGGCCAGGCUGUCUCCACCCGAGACUCAGUGAAAUUGAACUCGCUGUGAAGAUGCAGUGUACCCGCGGCAAGACGGAAAGACCCCGUGAACCUUUACUAUAGCUUGACACUGAACAUUGAGCCUUGAUGUGUAGGAUAGGUGGGAGGCUUUGAAGYGUGGACGCCAGUCUGCRUGGAGCCGACCUUGAAAUACCACCCUUUAAUGUUUGAUGUUCUAACGUGGACCCGURAUCCGGGUUGCGGACAGUGUCUGGUGGGUAGUUUGACUGGGGCGGUCUCCUCCUAAAGAGUAACGGAGGAGCACGAAGGUUGGCUAAUCCUGGUCGGACAUCAGGAGGUUAGUGCAAUGGCAUAAGCCAGCUUGACUGCGAGCGUGACGGCGCGAGCAGGUGCGAAAGCAGGUCAUAGUGAUCCGGUGGUUCUGAAUGGAAGGGCCAUCGCUCAACGGAUAAAAGGUACUCCGGGGAUAACAGGCUGAUACCGCCCAAGAGUUCAUAUCGACGGCGGUGUUUGGCACCUCGAUGUCGGCUCAUCACAUCCUGGGGCUGAAGUAGGUCCCAAGGGUAUGGCUGUUCGCCAUUUAAAGUGGUACGCGAGCUGGGUUUAGAACGUCGUGAGACAGUUCGGUCCCUAUCUGCCGUGGGCGCUGGAGAACUGAGGGGGGCUGCUCCUAGUACGAGAGGACCGGAGUGGACGCAUCACUGGUGUUCGGGUUGUCAUGCCAAUGGCACUGCCCGGUAGCUAAAUGCGGAAGAGAUAAGUGCUGAAAGCAUCUAAGCACGAAACUUGCCCCGAGAUGAGUUCUCCCUGAGACUUAGAGUCUCCUGAAGGAACGUUGAAGACGACGACGUUGAUAGGCCGGGUGUGUAAGCGCAGCGAUGCGUUGAGCUAACCGGUACUAAUGAACCGUGAGGCUUAACCUUACAACGCCGAAG